CAUGCUUGCUAGAUUUUGAGCCAUACAUUUACUUUUUACUGCUUAUGAGCAUUGAGUGUGGUCAAGCUGUGUAGACCCUUAGGAGCUUGUCAUGUGGUUAAAUCAAGAUUCACUUGCACGUUCAUUCACACAUGCUACUUCUACUCCGGAAGUACCAUCCACAUAUAUCCAUCCAUUUCCAUCUCCAGAACCAACCAAAAAUAUUCUACUCCUAAUCCGGGAGGGAAUGGCCAAAUAUUUUUGUUUUCCCUGUGAAAUAAAUGCUCAAGUUAUCUUGUAACUACCACUUGCUAUAUUAUCUCAAGAGAUGAGUGCUCUAAUAAAAAAAAGUAUAUGAGGAAAUAAAAAGAGGCAAGUGCCCAGAACCUCGAAAGAAAAGAAAAAGUGAGACGAGAGGUAAAAAUGGACAAGUGUCCGACAGUAGAAUUAGGGGUACAAGAUACCCACCUGAGAGGAAAGAAAAAGAAAAGAUAGAGCAUAUCAUUCUCCUCACAAUCUUUCAGAGAGCAAGGAAGGUAUGUAUCCCCUCAAAGAGCAAAAGUAGAAUUAGACUUCCACCAUUGUUAUCACCAUUAUCACCAUACACCAUUCAUUCGCCAC
RNAcentral lists this long non-coding RNA (600 nucleotides) under Sorghum bicolor (sorghum). RNAcentral's name for it is "long non-coding RNA (SBIC_LNC014813)". The record is from RNAcentral. Lineage: Eukaryota; Viridiplantae; Streptophyta; Magnoliopsida; Poales; Poaceae.